UACGUAGGGUGCGAGCGUUGUCCGGAAUUAUUGGGCGUAAAGAGCUUGUAGGCGGUUUGUCGCGUCUGCUGUGAAAAUCCGGGGCUCAACCCCGGACUUGCAGUGGGUACGGCAGACUAGAGUGUGGUAGGGGAGACUGGAAUUCCUGGUGUAGCGGUGAAAUGCGCAGAUAUCAGGAGGAACACCGAUGGCGAAGGCAGGUCUCUGGGCCGAUACUGACACUGAGGAGCGAAAGCGUGGGGAGCGAACAGG
This 252-nucleotide ribosomal RNA is filed under the name uncultured bacterium. Its description in RNAcentral is "partial 16S ribosomal RNA". It matches the Rfam family "Bacterial small subunit ribosomal RNA", at positions 524 to 776 of the family's 1533-position model. The record is from RNAcentral.